AUGCAAGUCGAACGGUAAGGCCCUUUCGGGGGUACACGAGUGGCGAACGGGUGAGUAACACGUGGGUGACCUGCCCUGUACUUCGGGAUAAGCCUGGGAAACUGGGUCUAAUACCGGAUAUGACCUUCUCCUGCAUGGGGGUUGGUGGAAAGCUUUUGCGGUACAGGAUGGGCCCGCGGCCUAUCAGCUUGUUGGUGGGGUAAUGGCCUACCAAGGCGACGACGGGUAGCCGGCCUGAGAGGGCGACCGGCCACACUGGGACUGAGACACGGCCCAGACUCCUACGGGAGGCAGCAGUGGGGAAUAUUGCACAAUGGGCGCAAGCCUGAUGCAGCGACGCCGCGUGAGGGAUGACGGCCUUCGGGUUGUAAACCUCUUUCAGUAGGGACGAAGCGCAAGUGACGGUACCUACAGAAGAAGCACCGGCCAACUACGUGCCAGCAGCCGCGGUAAUACGUAGGGUGCAAGCGUUGUCCGGAAUUACUGGGCGUAAAGAGCUCGUAGGCGGUUUGUCACGUCGUCUGUGAAAACCCGAGGCUUAACCUCGGGCCUGCAGGCGAUACGGGCAGACUUGAGUACUGUAGGGGAGACUGGAAUUCCUGGUGUAGCGGUGGAAUGCGCAGAUAUCAGGAGGAACACCGGUGGCGAAGGCGGGUCUCUGGGCAGUAACUGACGCUGAGGAGCGAAAGCGUGGGUAGCGAACAGGAUUAGAUACGCUGGUAGUCCACGCCGUAAACGGUGGGUACUAGGUGUGGGUUUCCUUCCACGGGAUCCGUGCCGUAGCUAACGCAUUAAGUACCCCGCCUGGAGAGUACGGCCGCAAGGCUAAUACUCAGAGGAAUUGACGGGCGCCCGCACAAGCGGCGGAGCAUGUGGAUUAAUUCGAUGCAACGCGAA
Molecule: ribosomal RNA, 897 nt
Filed under: Tsukamurella strandjordii
Lineage: Bacteria; Bacillati; Actinomycetota; Actinomycetes; Mycobacteriales; Tsukamurellaceae
Description: bacterial SSU rRNA
Rfam family: Bacterial small subunit ribosomal RNA
Source: RNAcentral